RNAcentral lists this ribosomal RNA (377 nucleotides) under uncultured bacterium. RNAcentral's name for it is "bacterial SSU rRNA". It matches the Rfam family "Bacterial small subunit ribosomal RNA", at positions 29 to 416 of the family's 1533-position model. The record is from RNAcentral.
AACGAACGCUGGCGGCAGGCCUAACACAUGCAAGUCGAGCGCGUGUAGCAAUACACGAGCGGCGUACGGGUGAGUAUAACGUGGGAACCUGCCCUUCGGUACGGAACAACCCAGGGAAACUUGGGCUAAUACCGUAUGUGUUCUCCGGGUGUGGUGCUCGGGGAAGAAAGAUUUAUCGCCGAAGGAGGGGCCCACGCCGGAUUAGGUAGUUGGUGGGGUAAUGGCCUACCAAGCCUACGAUCCGUAGCUGGCUGAGAGGAUGAUCAGCCACACUGGGACUGAGACACGGCCCAGACUCCUACGGGAGGCAGCAGUGGGGAAUAUUGGACAAGUGGGGGCAACCCUGAUCCAGCCAUGCCGCGUGAGUGAUGAAGGCC